Long non-coding RNA from Lycium barbarum (goji berry), 614 nucleotides. RefSeq lists it as uncharacterized. The transcript is spliced from 2 exons. The record is from RefSeq and is a predicted model, not a curated record. Lineage: Eukaryota; Viridiplantae; Streptophyta; Magnoliopsida; Solanales; Solanaceae.
UGUUUAACUUUUGGGGAUGUUAUAUGUAUAAAGGAAAUGCUGCCGAAAUUUCGGUAGGCAAAUAUGUAAUGAAUUUGGAGUCUUAAGUCUUGAAUUUGACAAUUGGUAAACAUGACCAUUUGUAGAUUCUGGACGAGAUUGGAAUCGAAGCCAAGCGAGCGUAAGGCGCAAUCGAGGUACAGACGCACCUGAAGAUACGCCGCCAGUCUAGGGCUCAGAUUCUGCUAUUUUGAAGAGCUCCUUUGGUCCGGAGCGUGUACUUUUGGUAUAUAUCUUCUGUCUUCUGUAUAUUCUGUAUGUAUGGCAACUCCGGGUACGGCGGGGCCCUGUCCCGUCAUAUGACUCUGUCGGUCUGUUUAGAGGUCUGUGGACAUGUUUGUGGGUUAGGGUCUUUCUGUACGGAUGUGUGUAUAUGUUGUGUUUGGGGCGACCCCAUUCGCCGCGGCGGCCGGUCCGCAUAUGUUUAUAUAUUGCUUUGCUGGCCGGUGUGGCCUUUGUUGGUAUUUUCUGUGCGCAGGGUUAUUUUGGAUAGUAUGUAAAACAAAGGAAACUCUGCCAAAAUUUUUCUGGAAAUUAUCUAAAUUUGAAAUAUAGCCUUGACGGCUUCUGCUUUA